UACGUAGGGGGCAAGCGUUAUCCGGAUUCACUGGGUGUAAAGGGAGCGUAGACGGCCAUGCAAGCCAGGGGUGAAAGCCCGGGGCCCAACCCCGGGGCUGCCCUUGGAACUGCAUGGCUGGAGUGCGGGAGGGGCAGGCGGAAUUCCUGGUGUAGCGGUGAAAUGCGUAGAUAUCAGGAGGAACACCAGUGGCGAAGGCGGCUUACUGGACUGUAACUGACGUUGAGGCUCGAAAGCGUGGGGAGCAAACAGG
This 253-nucleotide ribosomal RNA is filed under the name uncultured Eubacteriales bacterium. RNAcentral describes it as "uncultured Clostridiales bacterium partial 16S ribosomal RNA". It matches the Rfam family "Bacterial small subunit ribosomal RNA", at positions 524 to 776 of the family's 1533-position model. Lineage: Bacteria; Bacillati; Bacillota; Clostridia; Eubacteriales. The record is from RNAcentral.